Solanum tuberosum (potato) is the source of this 150-nucleotide long non-coding RNA. RefSeq lists it as uncharacterized. The record is from RefSeq and is a predicted model, not a curated record. NCBI's taxonomy places the organism in Eukaryota, Viridiplantae, Streptophyta, Magnoliopsida, Solanales, Solanaceae. The transcript has 2 exons.
GUGCUAGGCAACUGAGGAAGCUCAACAUCUAAAAAAAUUGAUACAAGACUAUUCUGCUUCUUUCAUCAAAGUAGGAGAUAAGAUGAAUCCUGAUCAUAGUUGGAUGUAUAAUAGAAACAAUCCUGGUCGAGCGGGUAUGAUUCCAGAAUU